RNAcentral lists this ribosomal RNA (1292 nucleotides) under metagenome. RNAcentral describes it as "bacterial SSU rRNA". It matches the Rfam family "Bacterial small subunit ribosomal RNA", at positions 8 to 1321 of the family's 1533-position model. The record is from RNAcentral.
AGAGUUUGAUCCUGGCUCAGGACGAACGCUGGCGGCGCGCCUAACACAUGCAGGUCGAACGAGCGAGAGAGAGCUUGCUUUCUUGAGCGAGUGGCGAACGGGUGAGUAACGCGUGAGGAACCUGCCUCAAAGAGGGGGACAACAGUUGGAAACGACUGCUAAUACCGCAUAAGCCCACGGCUCGGCAUCGAGCAGAGGGAAAAGGAGCAAUCCGCUUUGAGAUGGCCUCGCGUCCGAUUAGCUAGUUGGUGAGGUAACGGCCCACCAAGGCGACGAUCGGUAGCCGGACUGAGAGGUUGAACGGCCACAUUGGGACUGAGACACGGCCCAGACUCCUACGGGAGGCAGCAGUGGGGAAUAUUGCACAAUGGGGGAAACCCUGAUGCAGCGACGCCGCGUGGAGGAAGAAGGUCUUCGGAUUGUAAACUCCUGUUGUUGAGGAAGAUAAUGACGGUACUCAACAAGGAAGUGACGGCUAACUACGUGCCAGCAGCCGCGGUAAAACGUAGGUCACAAGCGUUGUCCGGAAUUACUGGGUGUAAAGGGAGCGCAGGCGGGAAGACAAGUUGGAAGUGAAAUCCAUGGGCUCAACCCAUGAACUGCUUUCAAAACUGUUUUUCUUGAGUAGUGCAGAGGUAGGCGGAAUUCCCGGUGUAGCGGUGGAAUGCGUAGAUAUCGGGAGGAACACCAGUGGCGAAGGCGGCCUACUGGGCACCAACUGACGCUGAGGCUCGAAAGUGUGGGUAGCAAACAGGAUUAGAUACCCUGGUAGUCCACACUGUAAACGAUGAUUACUAGGUGUUGGAGGAUUGACCCCUUCAGUGCCGCAGUUAACACAAUAAGUAAUCCACCUGGGGAGUACGACCGCAAGGUUGAAACUCAAAGGAAUUGACGGGGGCCCGCACAAGCAGUGGAGUAUGUGGUUUAAUUCGACGCAACGCGAAGAACCUUACCAAGUCUUGACAUCCCUUGACGAUGCUGGAAACAGUAUUUCUCUUCGGAGCAAGGAGACAGGUGGUGCAUGGUUGUCGUCAGCUCGUGUCGUGAGAUGUUGGGUUAAGUCCCGCAACGAGCGCAACCCUUAUGGUCAGUUACUACGCAAAAGGACUCUGGCCAGACUGCCGUUGACAAAACGGAGGAAGGUGGGGAUGACGUCAAAUCAUCAUGCCCUUUAUGACCUGGGCUACACACGUACUACAAUGGCGUUAAACAAAGAGAAGCAAGACCGCGAGGUGGAGCAAAACUCAGAAACAACGUCCCAGUACGGACUGCAGGCUGCAACUCGCCUGCAC